GGUGGCUCAGUGGUAGAGUGCUUGCCUUGCAUGCACGAGACCCUGGGUUCGAUUUCUCAGCACCA
Molecule: transfer RNA, 65 nt
Filed under: Dipodomys ordii (Ord's kangaroo rat)
Lineage: Eukaryota; Metazoa; Chordata; Mammalia; Rodentia; Heteromyidae
Rfam family: tRNA
About the family: Transfer RNA (tRNA) molecules are approximately 80 nucleotides in length. Their secondary structure includes four short double-helical elements and three loops (D, anti-codon, and T loops). Further hydrogen bonds mediate the characteristic L-shaped molecular structure. tRNAs have two regions of fundamental functional importance: the anti-codon, which is responsible for specific mRNA codon recognition, and the 3' end, to which the tRNAs corresponding amino acid is attached (by aminoacyl-tRNA synthetases). tRNAs cope with the degeneracy of the genetic code in two manners: having more than one tRNA (with a specific anti-codon) for a particular amino acid; and 'wobble' base-pairing, i.e. permitting non-standard base-pairing at the 3rd anti-codon position.
Source: Rfam by way of RNAcentral